Molecule: ribosomal RNA, 253 nt
Filed under: uncultured bacterium
Lineage: Bacteria
Description: partial 16S ribosomal RNA
Rfam family: Bacterial small subunit ribosomal RNA
Source: RNAcentral
GACAGAGGUGCCGAGCGUUAGGCGGAAUCACUGGGCUUAAAGCGUGUGUAGGCGGGCGGGCAAGUACCUUGUGAAAUCCCACGGCUCAACCGUGGAACGGCUGGGUAUACUGCCUGUCUUGAGCCAACUAGGGGCGAGCGGAACAGACGGUGGAGCGGUGAAAUGCGUAGAUAUCAUUUGGAACGCCAAAGGUGAAAACAGACAGCUGGGGAUGUGCUGACGCUGAGACACGAAAGCCAGGGGAGCGAACGGG